This 214-nucleotide non-coding RNA is filed under the name Limosilactobacillus secaliphilus. Its description in RNAcentral is "Lactobacillus secaliphilus T-box sequence". It matches the Rfam family "T-box leader". From Rfam's summary of the family: Uncharged tRNA acts as the effector for transcription antitermination of genes in the T-box leader family. T-boxes are found upstream of many aminoacyl-tRNA synthetase genes and some amino acid biosynthetic genes usually in Gram-positive bacteria. Lineage: Bacteria; Bacillati; Bacillota; Bacilli; Lactobacillales; Lactobacillaceae. The record is from RNAcentral.
GCUAAAUUGAUGACGGACACAGCGACUAUUGAGUGUGGCAUUCAGCGAACUGGUGAUUGGUGAAAGACCAGUGAAAGCCUUGAUAGCCUAUCAGUCCGGAAAGUUACCCUGAAUAGUAGGGGUAACCGGUUCAUUACCGUUAUUAAAUGCCUAAGGAAACAAUCCAUUUUGUUUCGAACUAGGGUGGUACCACGAAAAAAGCUUCGUCCCUGAU